RNAcentral lists this ribosomal RNA (1164 nucleotides) under Nosema sp. RNAcentral's name for it is "bacterial SSU rRNA". It matches the Rfam family "Microsporidia small subunit ribosomal RNA". Lineage: Eukaryota; Fungi; Microsporidia; Nosematidae. The record is from RNAcentral.
GUAGACGCUAUACUCUAAGAUUAACCCAUGCAUGUUUAUUGAAUAUAAAGAAAAGACGAACAGCUCAGUAACUCUUAUUUGAUUUGAUGUAUUAGGAUUCUAACUAUGUUAAAUUAUAGGUAACAAUAAUACAAUAAGAAUAAGAUCUAUCAGUUAGUUGUUAAGGUAAUGGCUUAACAAGACUAUGACGGAUAACGGUAUUACUUUGUAAUAUUCCGGAGAAGGAGCCUGAGAGAUUGCUACUAAGUCUAAGGAUUGCAGCAGGGGCGAAACUUGACCUAUGAUAUUAUAUUGAGGCAGUUAUGAGUAGUAUUUUAUAAUUAUUGUAGUAUUGUAAGUACAUAUUACAAGAUAAAUCGGAGGGCAAAUCGAGUGCCAGCAGCCGCGGUAAUACUUGUUCCGAUAGUGUGUAUGAUGAUUGAUGCAGUUAAAAAGUCUGUAGUUUAUUUAUAAUAAGCAUUGUAAGGUAUACUGUAUGGUUAGGAGAGAGAUGAAAUGUGAUAACCCUAACUGGAUGAACAGAAGCGAAAGCUGUAUACUUAAAUGUAUUAUUAGAACAAGGACGUAAGCUAGAGGAUCGAAGAUGAUUAGAUACCAUUGUAGUUCUAGCAGUAAACUAUGUUGAAUCAUAGAUAUAUUUUGAUAUAUAUUUAUGUAGAGAAAUUAAGAUUAUAUUGACUCUGGGGAUAGUAUGAUCGCAAGAUUGAAAAUUAAAGAAAUUGACGGAAGAAUACCACAAGGAGUGGAUUGUGCGGCUUAAUUUGACUCAACGCGGGGUAAUUUACCAGGUAUAACAUGAUAUAAUAUUUUAUCAUGAUAGUGGUGCAUGGCCGUUUCCAAUGGAUGCUGUGAAGUAAUGAUUAAUUUCAACAAGAUGUGAGACCCUCAUUUAGACAGAUGUAGUGAUACAUAUGAAGGAGAGGAUUAAAACAGGUCCGUUAUGCCCUAAGAUAAUCUGGGUUGCACGCGCAAUACAAUAAUAUUUGAUAUUAUAAGGGAUAAUAUAAUGUAAGAUAUAUUUGAACAUGGAAUUGCUAGUAAAUUUUAUUUAAUAAGUAGAAUUGAAUGAGUCCCUGUUCUUUGUACACACCGCCCGUCGCUAUCUAAGAUGGUAUUAUCUAUGAACAAAUUUAUAAAGUGAAUAGAUAGUACUAGAUCUGAUAU